GAGCGGACAGAAGGGAGCUUGCUCCCGGAUGUUAGCGGCGGACGGGUGAGUAACACGUGGGUAACCUGCCUGUAAGACUGGGAUAACUCCGGGAAACCGGAGCUAAUACCGGAUAGUUCCUUGAACCGCAUGGUUCAAGGAUGAAAGACGGUUUCGGCUGUCACUUACAGAUGGACCCGCGGCGCAUUAGCUAGUUGGUGAGGUAACGGCUCACCAAGGCGACGAUGCGUAGCCGACCUGAGAGGGUGAUCGGCCACACUGGGACUGAGACACGGCCCAGACUCCUACGGGAGGCAGCAGUAGGGAAUCUUCCGCAAUGGACGAAAGUCUGACGGAGCAACGCCGCGUGAGUGAUGAAGGUUUUCGGAUCGUAAAGCUCUGUUGUUAGGGAAGAACAAGUGCAAGAGUAACUGCUUGCACCUUGACGGUACCUAACCAGAAAGCCACGGCUAACUACGUGCCAGCAGCCGCGGUAAUACGUAGGUGGCAAGCGUUGUCCGGAAUUAUUGGGCGUAAAGGGCUCGCAGGCGGUUUCUUAAGUCUGAUGUGAAAGCCCCCGGCUCAACCGGGGAGGGUCAUUGGAAACUGGGAAACUUGAGUGCAGAAGAGGAGAGUGGAAUUCCACGUGUAGCGGUGAAAUGCGUAGAGAUGUGGAGGAACACCAGUGGCGAAGGCGACUCUCUGGUCUGUAACUGACGCUGAGGAGCGAAAGCGUGGGGAGCGAACAGGAUUAGAUACCCUGGUAGUCCACGCCGUAAACGAUGAGUGCUAAGUGUUAGGGGGUUUCCGCCCCUUAGUGCUGCAGCUAACGCAUUAAGCACUCCGCCUGGGGAGUACGGUCGCAAGACUGAAACUCAAAGGA
This 862-nucleotide ribosomal RNA is filed under the name Bacillus sp. LMR253. RNAcentral's name for it is "bacterial SSU rRNA". It matches the Rfam family "Bacterial small subunit ribosomal RNA", at positions 64 to 908 of the family's 1533-position model. The record is from RNAcentral. Lineage: Bacteria; Bacillati; Bacillota; Bacilli; Caryophanales; Bacillaceae.